ACGAACGCUGGCGGCGUGCUUAACACAUGCAAGUCGAACGGGCAUAGAUUGAAGCUUGCUUGAUCUAUGUUAGUGGCGGACGGGUGAGUAACGCGUGAGCAACUUGCCUUGGACAGUGGAAUAACACAGGGAAACUUGUGCUAAUACCGCAUGAAGUGCGGAGGGGGCAUCCCUUCUGUACCAAAGGAAGCAAUUCCGGUCUGAGAUGGGCUCGCGUCCGAUUAGAUAGUUGGUGAGGUAACGGCCCACCAAGUCGACGAUCGGUAGCCGGACUGAGAGGUUGGCCGGCCACAUUGGGACUGAGACACGGCCCAGACUCCUACGGGAGGCAGCAGUGGGGAAUAUUAGGCAAAAUGGGGGAAACCCUGACCUAGCAACGCCGCGUGAAGGAUGAAGGUUUUCGGAUUGUAAACUUCUUUGGCAGGGGACGAUAAUGACGGUACCCUGAGAACAAGCCACGGCUAACUACGUGCCAGCCGCCGC
This 483-nucleotide ribosomal RNA is filed under the name uncultured bacterium. Its description in RNAcentral is "bacterial SSU rRNA". It matches the Rfam family "Bacterial small subunit ribosomal RNA", at positions 29 to 518 of the family's 1533-position model. The record is from RNAcentral.